UACGAAGGGGGCUAGCGUUGCUCGGAAUCACUGGGCGUAAAGGGUGCGUAGGCGGGGCUUUAAGUCAGGGGUGAAAUCCUGGAGCUCAACUCCAGAACUGCCUUUGAUACUGAAGAUCUUGAGUUCGGGAGAGGUGAGUGGAACUGCGAGUGUAGAGGUGAAAUGCGUAGAUAUCCGGAGGAACACCGGUGGCGAAGGCGGCUUCCUGGACCGACACUGACGCUGAGGCGCGAAAGCUAGGGGAGCAAACGGG
Molecule: ribosomal RNA, 253 nt
Filed under: uncultured bacterium
Lineage: Bacteria
Description: partial 16S ribosomal RNA
Rfam family: Bacterial small subunit ribosomal RNA
Source: RNAcentral